This 253-nucleotide ribosomal RNA is filed under the name uncultured bacterium. RNAcentral describes it as "partial 16S ribosomal RNA". It matches the Rfam family "Bacterial small subunit ribosomal RNA", at positions 524 to 776 of the family's 1533-position model. The record is from RNAcentral.
UACGGGGGGGGCAAGCGUUGUUCGGAAUUACUGGGCGUAAAGCGCGUGUAGGCGGCUCUGCAAGUCGGGUGUGAAAUCCCAUGGCUCAACCAUGGAAGUGCACUCGAAACUGCAGGGCUAGAGUCCUGGAGAGGAAGGUGGAAUGCUUGGUGUAGAGGUGAAAUUCGUAGAUAUCAAGCGGAACACCGGUGGCGAAGGCGGCCUUCUGGACAGUGACUGACGCUGAGACGCGAAAGCGUGGGGAGCAAACAGG